RNAcentral lists this ribosomal RNA (491 nucleotides) under uncultured bacterium. RNAcentral describes it as "partial 16S ribosomal RNA". It matches the Rfam family "Bacterial small subunit ribosomal RNA", at positions 29 to 507 of the family's 1533-position model. The record is from RNAcentral.
AGUGAACGCUGGCGGUAGGCCUAACACAUGCAAGUCGAACGGCAGCACAGUAAAAGCUUGCUCUUACGGGUGGCGAGUGGCGGACGGGUGAGGAAUACAUCGGAAUCUACUUUUUCGUGGGGAUAACGUAGGGAAACUUACGCUAAUACCGCAUACGCCCUCCGGGUGAAAGCAGGGGAUCUUCGGACCUUGCGCGAUUGAAUGAGCCGAUGUCGGAUUAGCUAGUUGGCGGGGUAAAGGCCCACCAAGGCGACGAUCCGUAGCUGGUCUGAGAGGAUGAUCAGCCACACUGGAACUGAGACACGGUCCAGACUCCUACGGGAGGCAGCAGUGGGGAAUAUUGGACAAUGGGCGCAAGCCUGAUCCAGCCAUACCGCGUGGGUGAAGAAGGCCUUCGGGUUGUAAAGCCCCUUUGUUGGGAAAGAAAAGCAGCAGGUUAAUACCCCGCUGUUCUGACGGUACCCAAAGAAUAAGCACCGGCUAACUUCGUG